Long non-coding RNA from Egretta garzetta (little egret), 4932 nucleotides. RefSeq lists it as uncharacterized. The transcript has 3 exons. The record is from RefSeq and is a predicted model, not a curated record. Lineage: Eukaryota; Metazoa; Chordata; Aves; Pelecaniformes; Ardeidae.
UAAACAACCUCUUUGUGGAGCGUGUCUUAAAACUUGUGACCAGCUGGGUGAGGGGCCUUCGUAUCAAUUUCAAGCCUGUGGAGAGGGGAGCAUAACAGGUCCCUGACUGCUCCAGCCACCUCCUGCCUGCCAAGGAAUGCUGGAAUCAGAGGUCGUUAUUGCACAAGUAAUUAAAGGUUCAUCAGCCCUACCUCUCUGAUUGCUUAAGGCCAUUGUAGUAAGGGACAAAUACUCCUGCUUGCCCACUGUUAUUUGUUUUCUGCUUGCUCUGUUUUUCUUGGCUUGAGAAGAGGAAUUAUGAAGACUCUUGAGUAGGAUCUGGGAGUGCUACGGUCUAAUGCAUUUGGCUGUGGCCCUGGGUAUGUUGUGGAACACGCUCGUACUGAGAAGUGGAGUGUCUUCAGGGCCCUCUCUCUUCCUGCUUCUCCCCCAAAUCCAGACGUCAGAGAGAUGGUUCUCAAAAAGGAGGGCCAAGUUGCACAGGCCCUGGCACAGAGUGGGUGAAGCCAGGCUUGGGGAUGUCUGUAGAGUGGUGCCUCCGAAUGGCUGAAGUGCCUCCUGCCCUCACAUUAGCAGAUACAGGGGUUUUAUUACAGCUGAGUUGGAUGCCAAAAAAGUGAGAUUGGUUUAUAAGCGAGGGUUUCCUAUGGAUUUUCUUAAAGGGAUUCUUUUUUUCUUUCUGUGGUUUGAACUCUGAAGUUCAGGUUUUUGUAUGUUUUCUCUCCAUUAUAGUAUGUGAGAAAUUACUUUGUUUUUUAAAUAGACACUGAGACUCACAUAUGGGCAGGGGCCUCUUAAAAAAAAGAAAGUACCAAAUAUUGUGAGUCUUUGACAGAAUCACAAGAGCAGGGCAGACUGAGCCACCCACCCUUUAACCAUCUGUCCCUUGAGAUCUGGAGAGUCUUUUAUCGCUGGGGAGCACAGCCCACAGACGUGGGAAGUCAUGUUGCUGUCCUCCAGUUUUUUCUUCUGUAGGUGAAUGUUCACCACCACCACCAAAUAAACGAGCCCCCGUUAUACUGACUCUCCUUGUGCUUCCAGAGCAGCGGAAGAAACAGCUGAGAAGGAAAUGAGAGCUGGCUUUCAGCCCCCUUGGUCCAGUAACAUCAUGAAUGAGCCUCGCAGUAUGGCUGGUGCAGGGUGGGCAUUUCCCUCCCUCCUGGGAGCAUAGAAGAGGACCAAGCUUGGACUGUGCUUGCUGCCUGCACCCCAAAAGCCUCCUUGUUGCUGAAGGCGUUUUGCCCUGGAGAGCCUGGCUGCAGGGGCUUGGCUGUAGCUCAGGAACAGCUUGAAGGGCAUGUGUUGGGUAGGCAGAUGGAGCAGAUGAUGGAGAUGAUCUGCAGAAGAAGGGGAAGUGGUGUGAGAAGGGGAAUGAUAAAAGGGCAGCCGCGUGGGUGACCCUGUGGGAUCAGAGGAGGGCAAUAACUUAUCUCAAAACGAGUGAGGGGCCAGCCACGAAGUUGCCUGGAAUAAGCGGCUGAGGCAGAAAAGGGCUGGUGGAACUAUUAAGUCUGGCAGACCUGAGGUUAUUCUCUGUGUGCGUCUGCGGGGGAGUCAAAUAACUUCUUGGUCAGUCUGCAGAGGCUGUCUAAUCAACGGCCUCAGUGCUGGUCACAGCCCGGGAUGCUCCAAGGUAACACUAAUCCUGCCGCAGAGCAGAGGGGCGUCUCCAGAGGUCCCAGGGGCACUGCAUCUUGACACAUGAACGCAGCCCCCAAUGCAGCAGCCUUACAACAGACACUGCGUAAUGGCCUGUUUUGCAUUUGUAUUUCAUUUGCCUCCCAUAUGGGAUCAGUUUUUCCCUUUUCUUUAUUUUUUUUAAUAGCGUUUUUCCUAGUCAUAAUAAUCAGUAUUUCCCUGCCUUCCCUCCCCUCUUCAUUUUUCACAGCUGGCUUUGAUUGGUUUCAGUCCUGCAGAUGCUCCUUCGGACUGAGAAGAAGGGGCAAAGGUUCCCUUCCUUUUCAACAUGAGGCAGACGGCCUUGCCCGCAGGGUGGGGGAGGCCGGCGUGCUCCCGGACUAGCCGACUCUUUGCUGUUGCCCCAGCUGGCCUCUUGUGCAUCGGGUGAGGUUUGCCAAAUUGCGAGAUAAUUUCUCUGCCGAAGGCCUGGAGAUGAUCACAAGCUGUUGAUGGCGUGCAUGCCCCUUCACUCGCACCAUUCAAAAAUAGCUGUUCUUGCGAGCAAGAGGAGCAGAAUCCCCAAACUCCUUGUGCUCACCAGCUAUGGGCACAGAGGGCCAGAGUGCAUCUGUGAUCUGCAGAGAGCGUGCUGAGACUGACUUGGAUUUCUGUGUCUGUGUGCCGUCAGGCUCAUGGCAACCGCAGCCCCAUGUGUCUGGCUGUGCAAGGUAUGCGGUCCUCCGCACAGGGCACGAUGAACCUGUGCAACCCUGCAUAGCCCACCACCAAAAGGAACUGGCAGCUGCUCGGGUGGAAAGCACGCCGAGUGCGUGAAUUGGCAUGGGAAAAAAAUAAUUAUCGGAUGGACGGGCAGACUUUCCUGAUUUUUAGGGCAUGAGUCAAACAUGAAUUGCAUAGCAGAAAGAAGAAACUUCCCCUCAGAGACAACCUAAUCCACAGUUGCCCAAUGUGGGGAUUCUAGCAACUUCCUUCGAAGCAGCUUGCGCUGGUCACUGUCAGAGACGGACGGUUGAGUCGACAGUCGCUCAGCCGAUGUGUUAUGGCUAUUCCUGCAUUCCAGGCACCAUCCAAGAGAAUGAGACAUAGCAUUGCACAAGACCAAAAGAAAGUAAAUGUUUACAGGCACAACGCACAUUUCAGCUUGUUACAUGUUCCUGGGCAGUGAAAGAAAUGAAACAAUGAUUAAAACAGGUCCCAAGUCUCAGUGUGUAUCUUGGCUUGCAGCACAGCCCUCUUGGAGCGCUGCCUCUGCCUCUCUCUGAUCCCAGCCUGAGCGGUACCACUGGGCCGCUGCAUCCAGGUCAAGGUCCUUCCCGUUAUUCCAAGUACAUUGUCCUUCUGAGAACUGCAAAAGCCUUUUGAUGAGGUGGCUUUAUGGCUUGUGAUGGAUUCGGGUGCUUGGUGUUCCCCCCCCAGGCACACAGCAGCUGGCAUGCAGGGAUCUCCCCAGCUGACUAGGAGAUGUUUGCCUUGGGUAUCCAAAGUGUCAGUGUGAGGGAAAUCAUAGAUGGACUUAUUCCCAUGGGAGAGGAGGGUUGAGACAAGUAGAGGAGCGGAAGCAAAGCAGACAUUUAAAUUGUUUCUUCCCUAAAUUAUCUCUUUUUAAUGGUCUAGUUUGGCUCUGCAUGCAUUCAGCGAAGCAAUUGGGGUGCAGUGAAGCCGAUGUAGUGAAGGGCUGUGUUGGCACACCUGACAGGAGUAGCUACCUCUGCUCUCCUGCUCUAAGUACAAGGUUGGUCACAGCACAGCUUGGAGGCUGGGAUGUCUCCCUGCGGUUUGUUUCAGCCCUCCUGUCACAUGUUGUUCAGUGUCGCUUGGAGCCCAGGAGCCGGGGGAGCCUACUUCGCUGCUUGACUUCUCAAGAACUCCAGAAUAGGCCUGUGCAACACAAACCUCUCUAUUUUUAAUGGGGCCUGUCCAAGGUAUGGUUUCCUAUUGUCAUCUGGCCUAACUGGGUCACUGUUACACCUACUGGUAUAACACUGCAAACACUUGUAGGCUGAUGCCAUUACUGCGUGAUGACAUUUCUCUGGCUGUCCAAAUAUUUCCUCUGACUUGUAUUUUCUGUAACAUCAUUUUUUCUCCUGUUUUCUAUGGCUUACUAUACAUUUCUCUGCUUUCUUUUUCUUUUUUUCCUGGUCUCCAGCUAUUCUUGCAACACAUGCAAAAAAAGUGCACAACUGUCAGAUAUUAUUGUAGGACUCACAGUGACUACCUAUCAUUUUUGCUGCAAACACGAUAGUUCUUUUCAGUUGUCUUUGCAAAAUAAAACUAUUUAAUCAAAGAAGAAAUCUUAUUUUAAAAAAAAGUAAUCCUGUCAGCCUUUAAAACAUGCAGUGCCUUGAUUUGUGGUUCCCAUAAAAUAGUGUGUCUUCAGCCAGAGUUGAGUUAUUGCCUUAAGUGGCAGAAGAAAUGAAAAAUGGUGGAACCCUGUCUCCCUCUAACGCACGUGUUCUGGGGGUCACCAGUGAUGUCAUACCUGUGGCUGCGUCCCUGUGGCCCCAGCUAUUUAUUUUUAAGCAGAAAUAUUAUUUCCUAAUCUCAGUAAAACAAUCCAGACAGUGAAUUGUGGUAUAAUUACUGUAUCUUUCCCUUGGCUGUAUUUGCCGGAGUUCUGGCUCUGCGCACUGGAGGACCACCUCGAUCGUUUUAUACUCGCUUGGUUAUGCCCUGCCGGUCGAUCUGCUGCGUUAUCACGGAGAGCCGGCUUGUCGUGAUGCCUAUGGAGGAUGAUAUAUGCAUAUCUGCACACUUAUGCUAAUGCAGACUGUGAUCCCUCUGAGGGCCUCUGCCCUGCGUGAUGCAGCACCCCAUGGAGAUGCCCAAGGUAGCUCCGGCGCUCGGAGGAAUGCAGUUGUGUCAGUGUGAUACCGCAGCCGAGCCAAGCAGCUUGGGAGGCUGGCUGGGCUUGGCCACAGGCCAUGCUGAUGUGGUUCUCCUGCUCUUCAGAAUAAUCUAGUCUCUCCGUAUGGGCCUACAUCACGCUGGCUGGAUGUCCCAGCUUGUUUGGAGUCAGCUCAGGGAAUCUCUGUGAGGAAUUGGUGCUCCUGCGAGCUGAGCAUGUGAAUCCCUGGUGGCCAGAAGGUGAUAGUUGAUUCUCCUGGGCUGUCCGUUUCUUGGCUCAGUCUUCCAGACACGUGUAUGUGCUAGACUUGAUGCACCUGGCCUCAUCUUCACCACAGCUGUGUAGCAGAGAGCAACAUCAGAAGGGAGCAUCAAUUCCCUUUACCCUCAUGAUGACCAUAAAUGGUACCUGAACUUUCUCUGUAUGCCUAGUUUGAAAGCUUUGGU